UAAACGACUCUCGGCAACGGAUAUCUCGGCUCUCGCAUCGAUGAAGAACGUAGCGAAAUGCGAUACUUGGUGUGAAUUGCAGAAUCCCGUGAACCAUCGAGUCUUUGAACGCAAGUUGCGCCCGAAGCCAUUAGGUUGAGGGCACGUCUGCCUGGGCGUCUCG
Molecule: ribosomal RNA, 163 nt
Filed under: Pyrenaria oblongicarpa
Lineage: Eukaryota; Viridiplantae; Streptophyta; Magnoliopsida; Ericales; Theaceae
Also listed under: 3 other names
Description: 5.8S ribosomal RNA
Rfam family: 5.8S ribosomal RNA
About the family: 5.8S ribosomal RNA (5.8S rRNA) is a component of the large subunit of the eukaryotic ribosome. It is transcribed by RNA polymerase I as part of the 45S precursor that also contains 18S and 28S rRNA.
Source: RNAcentral